This 465-nucleotide ribosomal RNA is filed under the name uncultured bacterium. RNAcentral's name for it is "partial 16S ribosomal RNA". It matches the Rfam family "Bacterial small subunit ribosomal RNA", at positions 28 to 507 of the family's 1533-position model. The record is from RNAcentral.
GACGAACGCUGGCGGCGUGCUUAACACAUGCAAGUCGAACGGAAAGGCCCCCUUGUGGGGUACUCGAGUGGCGAACGGGUGAGUAACACGUGAGUAACAUACCCUUGACUUUGGGAUAACUUCAGGAAACUGGGGCAAAUACCGGAAAGGAGCUCCUGCUGCAUGGGGGGGGUUGGAAAGUUUCGGCGGUUGGGGAUGGACUCGCGGCUUAUCAGCUUGUUGGUGGGGUAGUGGCUCACCAAGGCUUUGACGGGUAGCCGGCCUGAGAGGGUGACCGGCCACAUUGGGACUGAGAUACGGCCCAGACUCCUACGGGAGGCAGCAGUGGGGAAUAUUGCACAAUGGGCGGAAGCCUGAUGCAGCAACGCCGCGUGCGGGAUGACGGCCUUCGGGUUGUAAACCGCUUUCGCCUGUGACGAAGCGUGAGUGACGGUAAUGGGUAAAGAAGCACCGGCUAACUACGUG